CCUACGGGUGGCAGCAGUGGGGGAUAUUGGACAAUGGGGGGAACGCUGAUCCAGCAACGCCGCGUGGAGGAUGACGGUUUUCGGAUUGUAAACUCCUUUUGUUAGAGAAGAUAAUGACGGUAUCUAACGAAUAAGCACCGGCUAACUCCGUGCCAGCAGCCGCGGUAAUACGGAGGGUGCAAGCGUUACUCGGAAUCACUGGGCGUAAAGAGUGCGUAGGCGGGAUAGCAAGUCAGAUGUGAAAUCCUAUGGCUUAACCAUAGAACUGCAUUUGAAACUGGUAUUCUAGAGUAUGGGAGAGGUAGGUGGAAUUCUUGGUGUAGGGGUAAAAUCCGUAGAGAUCAAGAGGAAUACUCAUUGCGAAGGCGACCUGCUAGAACAUAACUGACGCUGAUGCGCGAAAGCGUGGGGAGCGAACAGGAUUAGAUACCCGAGUAGUC
RNAcentral lists this ribosomal RNA (440 nucleotides) under uncultured bacterium. Its description in RNAcentral is "partial 16S ribosomal RNA". It matches the Rfam family "Bacterial small subunit ribosomal RNA", at positions 338 to 795 of the family's 1533-position model. The record is from RNAcentral.